UACGUAGGUGGCAAGCGUUGUCCGGAUUUACUGGGCGUAAAGAGCGCGCAGGCGGUCGUCCAAGUCGCGUGUGAAAGCCCCCGGCUCAACUGGGGAGGGUCACGCGAUACUGGUCGACUCGAAGGCAGGAGAGGGUAGUGGAAUUCCCGGUGUAGUGGUGAAAUGCGUAGAUAUCAGGAGGAACACCGGUGGCGAAGGCGGCCCUCUGGACGGUGACUGACGCUGAGACGCGAAAGCGUGGGGAGCAAACAGG
RNAcentral lists this ribosomal RNA (253 nucleotides) under uncultured bacterium. RNAcentral describes it as "partial 16S ribosomal RNA". It matches the Rfam family "Bacterial small subunit ribosomal RNA", at positions 524 to 776 of the family's 1533-position model. The record is from RNAcentral.